CUAGUAAUCGCGGAUCAGAAUGCCGCGGUGAAUACGUUCCCGGGUCUUGUACACACCGCCCGUCACACCAUGGGAGUCGGAAAUGCCCGAAGUCAGUGGCCCAACCGGAAGGAGGGAGCUGCCGAAGGCAGGUCCGGUGACUGGGGUGAAGUCGUAACAAGGUACC
RNAcentral lists this ribosomal RNA (166 nucleotides) under uncultured bacterium. RNAcentral describes it as "partial 16S ribosomal RNA". It matches the Rfam family "Bacterial small subunit ribosomal RNA", at positions 1335 to 1500 of the family's 1533-position model. The record is from RNAcentral.